GGAAUUUUCCGCAAUGGGCGAAAGCCUGACGGAGCAAUACCGCGUGAGGGAUGAAGGAUUUUGGUCUGUAAACCUCUUUUCUCAAGAAAGAAGUUCUGACGGUACUUGAGGAAUAAGCAUCGGCUAACUCCGUGCCAGCAGCCGCGGUAAUACGGGGGAUGCAAGCGUUAUCCGGAAUCAUUGGGCGUAAAGCGCCUGUAGGUUGUUUAAUAAGUCUGUUGUUAAAGACUAGGGCUUAACCCUAGAAAAGCAAUGGAAACUACUAGACUAGAGUAUGGCAGGGGUAGAGGGAAUUUCUAGUGUAGCGGUGAAAUGCGUAGAUAUUAGGAAGAACACCGGUGGCGAAAGCGCUCUACUGGACCAUUACUGACACUCAGAGGCGAAAGCUAGGGUAGCAAAAGGGAUUAGAUACCCCUGUAGUCCUAGCCGUAAACGAUGGAUACUAGAUGUUGUAUUUAUUUUACAGUAUCGUAGCUAACGCGUUAAGUAUCCCGCCUGGGGAGUACGCUCGCAAGGGUGAAACUCAAAGGAAUUGACGGGGGCCCGCACAAGCGGUGGAGCAUGUGGUUUAAUUCGAUGCAACGCGAAGAACCUUACCAAGGCUUGACAUACUACAAAUUUUUCUGAGAAGAAAAAGUGCCUUCGGGAAUGUAGAUACAGGUGGUGCAUGGCUGUCGUCAGCUCGUGUCGUGAGAUGUUGGGUUAAGUCCCGCAACGAGCGCAACCCUUAUUUUUAGUUACUAAUUCGUUAGGUUCUCUAGAAAGACUGCCGGUGACAAACCGGAGGAAGGUGAGGAUGACGUCAAGUCAGCAUGCCCCUUAUGUCCUGGGCUACACACGUGCUACAAUGGUGA
Molecule: ribosomal RNA, 854 nt
Filed under: marine metagenome
Description: bacterial SSU rRNA
Rfam family: Bacterial small subunit ribosomal RNA
Source: RNAcentral